AGAGACCUGAGGGCCUCAAGCUGCAGCUCCGGGGCACAUCCCGCUGCGCUCCCACGACGGCCCCGCGGAUGGCAAAGUCAGCGAAUUGACCACAAGAGAAGACUCCCUUUCAAACUCUUCAUUCUCUGGUUCAGAGGUUUGAUGUAAUGGUUGUCUCAUCGUACAUGGUCAGCCACAGGAUAUACUUCAUCCAUUUCAGAGCUGUACUCCUGAGUUCCAUGCUAUAAUCAGAAAUAUGUGGCACAUUUUGAACAAAGGAAAUAUAUACCCAACAAAGUGUUAAAAUGGAGCUGCCAACCAGACAAACCCUAGAAAUAUGUAGCCACUUACAGGCAGAACACAACUACAUGUGUUCCCAAUGUGGAAGGCAUUCCGGAAGUGUAUGCAUCCACAUUUCUACAUGAGGCAUCGCCUAUGCAGGCAAUCAAAGGAUGUUGAUGGAUAAGUGUUUCAGGCAGAAUAAUGGCCCUCAAAGAUGUUGACACCAGAAUCUUCAGAACCUUUGCAUAUGUUACCUAACAUGACAAAAGGGACUUUGCUGAUGUGAUUAAGGUUAAGAACUUUGAGAAGGGAAGAUUAUCCUGGAUUAUACAGGUCGACGUUUAUUUCUUUCUGAACUUUCCUGGAGGAUCAUCGGCCAUACUCCAGCAGAAGGGUGGAUUUGAAAAAAUAACGUUUCCACGGCAACAGUGGCAGCAAUUCAGAAAACAUGGAAUGCUAGGCCCAAUCUUAGGGAAGUGGUGCAGCCCAGUUCUAAGGCAAGGAUAUGAGAAGUUGUAUUUAAUGGAGGAAAUGGAACCAAAACCCAGGGGUGCUGGCUGGCCUGGUGCUGAUGUAACUGAAUCAAGGAAAGAUGAGGCUGGUCUGUGGGUGCUGAACAAGCUGCAAACUGAGAUCAACUGUCUCUCCUGGAAAGAAGUGCUGCUGCCAGGGUGAAGAAGCAAAGCUUGGUGAUGUGGAUAAGGCAGCAUCCUUCCUUCUCAGGUCUUCUAGUCUCCCUCCAGAACUCCCAGCAAAGCAGAAAUGUGGUGGGCAGCAUCCCACCUCCAACAUCACAAAGCGGAGUAUGAAAGGGAGAAAGUGAAAGAGGUAAGGGCUAACUUACUAGUUCCAUCAUGCUGUGGCAAAGGCUGCUGGUUGCUUAAAUUAACAUCUGUUCUUCUCUUCAUUCUUAAUAAUAGAAUCCUAAAACUCAGCCAAAGAA
Homo sapiens (human) is the source of this 1204-nucleotide long non-coding RNA. Ensembl annotates it as long intergenic non-protein coding RNA 1500. NCBI's taxonomy places the organism in Eukaryota, Metazoa, Chordata, Mammalia, Primates, Hominidae. The record is from Ensembl.